This 738-nucleotide ribosomal RNA is filed under the name Triticum aestivum (bread wheat). RNAcentral describes it as "partial small subunit ribosomal RNA". Lineage: Eukaryota; Viridiplantae; Streptophyta; Magnoliopsida; Poales; Poaceae. The record is from RNAcentral.
AUGACUAUUACAUCUGGGGCGCUGCCAGCGACGGUCAAUCACGAAUUGCACCAGGAGCACAAGCUCAGCCUGGUGGACAUGGCAAGCUGGAGCUUCAAUUGCGACGUGUGCAAGCAGCACGGAGAAGGGACCGCGCACUACCGGUGCGAGCCAUGCAACUUCCACGCCCACCCAGAGUGUGCCACCGCUCCGGCGACCUUCAAGCAUGUCAACUACGCCGGCGAUUUCGUGUUGUAUGCCGAGUCUGGUUCCGGCGACCCUCCAAUGUGCUGCGGCUUGUGUGGACUCGAGGUUCUCGGCUACAGGUACUACAACCGCGAAGAGUAUGACCGCCUCCACCCCUCCUGUGCCUUCAUGCCUAGGCGUGUCAUCCAGGAUGGCCGCACCUUCCAGCUCGGCUACCACCCAUCUGGUACAUGCGCCAUGUGCAAGAACCCAUCCACGACGUCCUUGUCCUACCGCUCCACCUACGACGACGGUGAGGAGGUGUACCUGCAUGUGCAAUGCCUCGUCGACACCAACAACAGGCUGACCGGUUAUCAAGACUGGGUGGCGAGCGCGCCGAUAAUGCCGGGCGUGCUGAGAAGCUUUACUAGGAAGAAGCAGGGAGGCGGUCUCAUGAAGGCUGCCAGCCUGUCCUUUGACAUCGCCCGUGCCGUACUCGAGGUGGCGAGUCUGGAUAUUGGGGGCAUGGCAGAAACUGCACAAACCGUGGCCGAGGCAUUCAAUAGUGAAUGA